AAGCCCACCCUAGCCCAACCACCAAAACCACUCAAAGACAAAAAAAUUUACUAAAACUAAAAACUAAAGCAUUCUCCCGUCUAAGUAUAGGCGAUAGAAAAGACAUUUGGAGCAAUAGACCAUAGUACCGUAAGGGAAAGAUGAAAUAACAAUGAAAACCUAAGCAACAAACAGCAAAGACUAACCCUUGUACCUUUUGCAUCAUGAUCUAGCAAGAACAACCAAGCAAAACGAACUUUAAGCUUGCCCUCCCGAAACCCACGCGAGCUACUUACAAGCAGCUAUCCAUGAGCUAACCCGUCUCUGUAGCAAAAGAGUGGGAAGACUUGUCAGUAGAGGUGAAAAGCCUACCGAGCUGGGUGAUAGCUGGUUGCCUGUGAAACGAAUUUAAGUUCCCCCUUAAUUUUACCCCAGAGCCAAACCAACUCACACGUAAAAAUUAAGAGCAAUUUAAAGGAGGUACAGCUCCCUUAAAAAAGAAUACAAUCUCCACCAGAGGAUAAGCUCUUCUUUUUUCCCCCCCCCCCCUGUAGGCCUUCAAGCAGCCACCAGCAAAGAGUGCGUCAAAGCUCUAUACCACGAAAAUACAACUACACAUACGACUCCCUCACCCAUAACAGGCCAACCUAUAAAAAUAGGAGCAUUAAUGCUAGAAUAAGUAACCAAGGAACUUCCUUCUAAAGCACAAACUUACAUUACACAUUAUUAACAGAAUUACUAAUACCCCAACCACUACAAGACCAAGUAUUAAACAUGACUGUUAGACCAACUCAGGAGUGCCCAACUAGAAAGAUUCAAACCUGUAAAAGGAACUAGGCAAACCCAAGGCCCGACUGUUUACCAAAAACACAGCCUUCAGCAAACUAAGUAUUGAAGGUGACGCCUGCCCAGUGACACAAAGUUCAACGGCCGCGGUAUCCUAACCGUGCAAAGGUAGCGCAAUCAAUUGUCCCAUAAAUCGAGACUUGUAUGAAUGGCCAAACGAGGUCUUAACUGUCUCUUACAGGUAAUCAGUGAAAUUGAUCUUCCCGUACAAAAGCGGGAAUAAGCCCAUAAGACGAGAAGACCCUGUGGAACUUAAAAACCAGCAGCCACUCCAAACCAAACCAAAGCCAACCUGGCCCACUACUCAAGGAUAUUGGCCCGCAUUUUUCGGUUGGGGCGACCUUGGAGAAAAACAAAUCCUCCAAAAAUAAGACAAUUACUUUUCACCAAGAUCAACCGUUCAACGUACUAACAGUAACCAGACCCAGCACAGCUGAUUAAUGGACCAAGCUACCCCAGGGAUAACAGCGCAAUCCCCUUCAAGAGCCCAUAUCGACAGGGGGGUUUACGACCUCGAUGUUGGAUCAGGACAUCCUAAUGGUGCAGCCGCUAUUAAGGGUUCGUUUGUUCAACGAUUAAUUAGUCCUACGUGAUCUGAGUUCAGACCGGAGCAAUCCAGGUCGGUUUCUAUCUAUGAUUAACCUCUCCUAGUACGAAAGGACCGGAGAAGUAAGGCCAAUACUACAAGCACGCCUUCCCCUAAAGUAAUGAACCCAUCUAAAUUACCAAAAGGCCACCAAAUAAUUAUCCUAAACAAGGACA
Molecule: ribosomal RNA, 1587 nt
Filed under: Coturnicops exquisitus
Lineage: Eukaryota; Metazoa; Chordata; Aves; Gruiformes; Rallidae
Description: 16S rRNA
Rfam family: Bacterial large subunit ribosomal RNA
Source: RNAcentral